GCAUAUCAAUAAGCGGAGGAAAAGAAACCAACAGGGAUUGCCUCAGUAACGGCGAGUGAAGCGGCAAAAGCUCAAAUUUGAAAUCUGGCCCUUUCAGGGUCCGAGUUGUAAUUUGCAGAGGAUGCUUCGGGAGCGGCGGCGGUUUAAGUCCCCUGGAACGGGGCGUCAUAGAGGGUGAGAAUCCCGUCUUGGACCGCAUGCCCGUGACCGUGUGAAGCUCCUUCGACGAGUCGAGUUGUUUGGGAAUGCAGCUCAAAAUGGGUGGUAAAUUUCAUCUAAAGCUAAAUACUGGCUGGAGACCGAUAGCGCACAAGUAGAGUGAUCGAAAGGUUAAAAGCACCUUGAAAAGGGAGUUAAAUAGCACGUGAAAUUGUUGAAAGGGAAGCGCUUGCAACCAGACUCGACCGCAGAGGCUCAGUGGGCACGUGUGCCCAUGCACUCCUCUGCGGGCGGGCCAGCAUCAGUUCUGACGGCCGGUCAAAGGCUCCUGGAAUGUAUCCUCCCCCGGGAGGUCUUAUAGCCAGGGGUGCAAUGCGGCCUGUCGGGACUGAGGAACGCGCUUCGGCACGGAUGCUGGCGUAAUGGUUGUAAGCGACCCGUCUUGAAACACGGACC
Molecule: ribosomal RNA, 615 nt
Filed under: Gymnascella nodulosa
Lineage: Eukaryota; Fungi; Ascomycota; Eurotiomycetes; Onygenales; Gymnoascaceae
Description: LSU rRNA
Rfam family: Eukaryotic large subunit ribosomal RNA
Source: RNAcentral